Molecule: non-coding RNA, 28 nt
Filed under: Rattus norvegicus (Norway rat)
Lineage: Eukaryota; Metazoa; Chordata; Mammalia; Rodentia; Muridae
Source: RNAcentral
UACUAGAGUGGAGUGCUUUGUGGAUAUU